RNAcentral lists this ribosomal RNA (483 nucleotides) under uncultured bacterium. RNAcentral describes it as "partial 16S ribosomal RNA". It matches the Rfam family "Bacterial small subunit ribosomal RNA", at positions 28 to 507 of the family's 1533-position model. The record is from RNAcentral.
GACGAACGCUGGCGGCGUGCUUAACACAUGCAAGUCGAACGAUGAACCUCGAAAUGACAUCUUCGGAAGGAUUUUUGAGAGGAUUAGUGGCGAACGGGUGAGUAACGCGUGAGCAACCUGCCUUAGACAAGGGGAUAGCCUCGGGAAACCGUGAUUAAUACCCUAUGAGACUCCACUUACGAGUGUAAGAGAAGUUAAAGCUAUUGCGGUCUAAGAUGGGCUCGCGUCUGAUUAGCUAGUUGGUGAGAUAAAAGCCCACCAAGGCGACGAUCAGUAACCGGCUUGAGGGAGUGAACGGUCACAGUGGAACAGAGACACGGUCCAAACUCCUACGGGAGGCAGGAGUGGGGAAUAUUGCACAAGGGGGGGGGGAACCCUGAUGCAGCGACGCCGCGUGAGCGAUGAAGGAAUUCGUUUCGUAAAGCUCUGUCCUUGGAGAAGAUAAUGACGGUAACCAAGGAGGAAGCACCGGCUAAAUACGUG